CCACCGCGGUUAGACGAGAGGCCCAAGUUGAUAGGGAACGGCGUAAAGUGUGGUUAAGGAACAUAUAUAGUAAAGCCGAACAUCUUCAACGUUGUUAUAAGCUCUCGAAGAUUGGAAGCCCUACUACGAAAGUGGCUUUACCACCCCCGAACCCACGAAAGCCAGGGGACAAACUGGGAUUAGAUACCCCACUAUGCCUGGUCAUAAACACUGAUAAACUAUUACAUAUAUUAUCCGCCUGGGUAUUACGAGCGCUAGCUUAAAACCCAAAGGACUUGGCGGUGCUUUAGACCCACCUAGAGGAGCCUGUUCUAUAACCGAUGAUCCCCGUUCAACCUCACCCUUCCGUUUGUUCUGCCUAUAUACCGCCGUCGCCAGCCCAUCCCGUGAGGGAUAUGUACUGAGCCACCCCGGUAAUGCCUUCGAUGACAGGUCGAGGUGUAGCAUGUGGAAGGGGAAGUAAUGGGCUACAUUCACUGCCCCAGUGAACCACGACUGACACGGUGAAAGCUGUGCCUAAAGGUGGAUUUAGUAGUAAGAGGAGAGUAGAGUGCCCCUCUGAACUUGGCCCUGAAGUGCGUACACAUCGCCCGUCACUCUCCCCGAAUUAGUCUUCGACCAGUAACUAACAUCUAGACGAUGUAGAGGGGAGGCAAGUCGUAACACGGUAAGUG
This 674-nucleotide ribosomal RNA is filed under the name Mullus auratus (red goatfish). Its description in RNAcentral is "partial 12S small subunit ribosomal RNA". It matches the Rfam family "Bacterial small subunit ribosomal RNA", at positions 512 to 1502 of the family's 1533-position model. Lineage: Eukaryota; Metazoa; Chordata; Actinopteri; Syngnathiformes; Mullidae. The record is from RNAcentral.